Molecule: ribosomal RNA, 672 nt
Filed under: uncultured stramenopile
Lineage: Eukaryota
Description: SSU rRNA
Rfam family: Eukaryotic small subunit ribosomal RNA
Source: RNAcentral
UAUCUGGUUGAUCCUGCCAGUAGUCAUACGCUCGUCUCAAAGAUUAAGCCAUGCAUGUGUUAGUAUAAACGCCUUUAUACUGUAAAACUGCGAACGGCUCAUUAUAUCAGUUAUAGUUUAUUUGAUACUUCUUCACUAUUUGAUAACCGUAGUAAUUCUAGAGCUAAUACAUGCUUACAGGCCCGACUCACGAAGGGCUGUAUUUAUUAGAUUUCAAUCAACAUUUUUUGCUGACUCAUGAUAACUAAGCGGAUCGCAGAGGCCUUGUGCCGGCGACAAAUCAUUCAAGUUUCUGCCCUAUCAGCUUUCGAUGGUAGUGUAUUGGACUACCAUGGCAUUAACGGGUAACGGAGGAUUAGGGUUCGAUUCCGGAGAGGGAGCCUGAGAAAUGGCUACCACAUCCAAGGAAGGCAGCAGGCGCGUAAAUUACCCAAUCCUAAUUCAGGGAGGUAGUGACAAUAAAUAUCGAUGCGGGGCCCUUCGGGUCUUGCAAUCGGAAUGAGAACAAUUUAAAUCCCUUAACGAGGAUCAAUUGGAGGGCAAGUCUGGUGCCAGCAGCCGCGGUAAUUCCAGCUCCAUAGCGUAUAUUAAUGGUGUUGCAGUUAAAAAGCUCGUAAUUGGAUUUCUGCCCCCGCAGGUCGGUCCGCCGCACUGCGGUGCGACUGAACUGGA